CAAUAGCGUAUAUUAAAGCUGUUGCGGUUAAAAAGCUCGUAGUUGGAUUUCUGUCAAGUACAACUGGUCCGCCCUCCGGGUGAGCACAUAGUUUGGUCUUGGCAUCUUGCUGGAAAUUGUUGCUGCACUUGGCUGUGUGGCGCAGUGUCCAGCACUUUCACUUUGAGGAAAUUGGAGUGUUUCAAGCAGGCAAUGCCUUUGAACACAGUAGCAUGGAAUAGUUAGAUUGGGCUUUUGCUCCAAUUUGUCGGUUUCUGGAGCUGAGGUGAGAAUUAAUGGGGAUUGUUGGGGGCAUCCGAAUUUAGCCGUCAGAGGUGAAAUUCUUGGAUCGGCUAAAGACGGACAACUGCGAAAGCGUUUGCCCAGGAUGUUUUCAUUGA
RNAcentral lists this ribosomal RNA (380 nucleotides) under uncultured eukaryote. RNAcentral's name for it is "partial 18S ribosomal RNA". It matches the Rfam family "Eukaryotic small subunit ribosomal RNA", at positions 592 to 976 of the family's 1831-position model. The record is from RNAcentral.